CCCUUAGAGUUUGAUCCUGGCUCAGGACGAACGCUGGCGGCGCGCCUAACACAUGCAAGUCGAACGAGCGAGAGAGAGUUUACUUUUUCGAGCGAGUGGCGAACGGGUGAGUAACGCGUGAGGAACCUGCCUCAAAGAGGGGGACAACAGUUGGAAACGACUGCUAAUACCGCAUAAGCCCACGACCCGGCAUCGGGUAGAGGGAAAAGGAGCAAUCCGCUUUGAGAUGGCCUCGCGUCCGAUUAGCUAGUUGGUGAGGUAACGGCCCACCAAGGCGACGAUCGGUAGCCGGACUGAGAGGUUGAACGGCCACAUUGGGACUGAGACACGGCCCGGACUCCUACGGGAGGCAGCAGUGGGGAAUAUUGCACAAUGGGGGAAACCCUGAUGCAGCGACGCCGCGUGGAGGAAGAAGGUCUUCGGAUUGUAAACUCCUGUUGUUGGGGGAGAUAAUGACGGUACUCAACAGGGAAGGACGGCUACUCUG
RNAcentral lists this ribosomal RNA (487 nucleotides) under uncultured bacterium. RNAcentral describes it as "bacterial SSU rRNA". It matches the Rfam family "Bacterial small subunit ribosomal RNA", at positions 1 to 505 of the family's 1533-position model. The record is from RNAcentral.